Molecule: long non-coding RNA, 1455 nt
Organism: Esox lucius (northern pike)
Lineage: Eukaryota; Metazoa; Chordata; Actinopteri; Esociformes; Esocidae
Source: Ensembl
UCUUACGACGGUGCAGGCCUGGUCGUCCUCCAUAACACGGACUGGGGAACCAAUGCGAAGUCCUCUCUUGUGGUUGUGCGGAGCGAAUGUUCCAGUCGACGUUUCUUCAGUAACACGCAGAGGAAACCCCCAGAAUUCACUGGUAUCUGGGGUCACUAUUGGAGUUCGCCCUAUCUUUUCUAAACAGUACUCUGCCCAACAGAAGAUAACUAGCAAGCUUGAUUAGACUAGCUAAGCUAAGGACUAACAAUAAAAUACGAUUUAGUUAACAUCCGUAUGUACCGAAAGACCCAGCGGUUGUCACUGGAUUUGCUGUUUUAUUUCGUCACUCGGAAAAUUAUCCAUUAACACUGAGUUUACCUACUUACAAACAUAGACAUAAUAAAGAGUAGACACCGCAUUGGCUGCUGGGGCGCGAGAAGUACGGCCGCCAUCUUUGACCGGUCAUACUCCUAUUUGCGUAACAGCUGAAGCCACGAUGCCAGAGCACUGUGGAGCAUAUUCCUGCUCAUAUCGGCGGACUAUCGAAAGCAGGGCUCGGGGAUUACUUUUCACAAGUGCUGAGUGCUGCAGAGAGGGUGAUCCGCCAAGCUUCACCAAUGCCAGCUCCUAAGGUGUCGACAGUCACACACAUCGUCCGGGAGGAGAUUGGAACGGAGGAUGUUUUUCUGCUUGGGGAACACAUUGAGGAGACUCAGUUUGGCAUCGACAACCAUCAUUCUGACUUGUUGUCAUUGGUUGUGUCUGUGUUUCUCAAAAUAAGGCUGCACCACAUUACCAAACUCACCUCUCUUGAACUGCAGAAAGGGAGCACGAGGAAGAACUGUCCUCUUUCAGGGGUUUUAGAGCGUGUGCAUGUGUGUGGUUCCACGACAAUUCAAGACUUUAAUCCUAAAUUCCAGCUUCCCAAAACUAAUUCAAAGUUUUAUAUCUGUACUUUAACCUUACUCAUCACACAUAGUAUCUUUAUGUCAUAUCUGUCAUCAUUCUGACAAGAUUAACACUGAAACUGAAAGCAAUGGUUUAAAACUGCCUGAAAACAGUGGUCUGUCACAUUUUAUGUGAAUACUGCUGUAAGUGUUGGUGGGUCUGUAAAUACCUCUGUCUGUUUGUGUUUCAUGAACUCUAGCCUCAUGGUGUGUCUCCAGGAAUCCAAAUGUUGGUCUCCUUUGCCUUACACUGGGUUUGUGAGCUUGUGUAUAAUGAAGUUUAUCUUUACAUUAUGUCCUUGUGUUUGUGAUUGUCUUAGCCCUGAUCUCUUUCCCUCUGGGUUCUGAAAAGCACUUGUAACUGUGUUUUGAAAAUUGCUACAUUAAUUAAGUUUGAAGACUUUUCAAGGGAGUUUCAACAAAGUAAAUGUGCAGUUUAAAUAAAAAACUGUCACUUUUCAUUUCAUCCUGCUAUUUUAGACUGGGACCCAUGUGAGUAUGUUGGGAUGGGGGCUGUGAAAUGAGA